RNAcentral lists this long non-coding RNA (39824 nucleotides) under Vigna radiata. RNAcentral describes it as "long non-coding RNA (VRAD_LNC007687)". Lineage: Eukaryota; Viridiplantae; Streptophyta; Magnoliopsida; Fabales; Fabaceae. The record is from RNAcentral.
AGUGUGUCCUGACUUCCAUGUGGGUCGACUUUCAUACGCACAUACUCGUCUCCUUUGAAAAGGUAAACUUCAUUCUCCAAAUGAGAAGAAAAACACGUAUCAAUUCCAUUUUCAAAGAUCGUACCUUUCAAAACAGGGAACCCUUCGCUGAUCCCAUAAAAGCGCUGAGUAAGUUUCUUGGUAUCAUAAUUAAUGCGAGCAUACUGCUUUCCCUUGAAUAUGUAAACUUCUUUGUCUCUGGUUGACCUAAAUGCACCAUCCACACCGUCAGCAAACCACGUGUUUUUAAGGUCGGGAAACAUUUCAUCGAUUGUGGUAGGACCUACGAGGAUCCUGUCGUUUCCUGUGUUCGGAGCAUAGUCUAUGUAGGCACAGUUAUUGUACGAGAAGAUAUAUGCUUCACUGCCUUCAGUGUUGAAAGAACAGUCUAUUCCUUGUUCUGCAAAUGGCGUUCCUGCAAGUGAUGUAAAACCAGUACUAACCAAUUCAAGAGGAGUCAGAAUUUCAUCACCUAAUUCUCCGGGAGUGUAAUACAGCCUCAUAUACUUGUUUUUCAUGAAGAAAUAGACUUGGAAUGGCUUUGAUGAAGGGAAUGCGGCAUUGAUAUAGACCUUGCCUGACAUUUUUCUUAACACAAGAAGAAGAAGGAGUAAGAGAAAAAAAUAGAUAGAUAGAUUUAGUUUGCUUAUUUACGUUCAUCCCAAGCCACCUAUUUAUACUGUUAUGAAAACGGAUCCUCAACCUUUUUCAUUUCUUUUCUUUACAUUUUCUUCACUCUAUACACACAUGUAGAAUUAAAAAGAUCUUGAUAUUUUUUUUAAGGUAUCAAAAUUAUCAUUUUUGUAUGGACGUAAUAAAACACAUACUGAUAAGAUCAGACAUGCAAAAAACGUAAUAAAAUUGUAAGGAAAUCAAAUUACAAAUUCUAAAACGUGAUAACAUUUGUUUAUGUGGUCCAAUUUCUUAGCUUUUUUUAAGUGUCGCUCGUCCCUUUGUUUAUGUGGUCCAAAUUCUAAAACGUGAUAACAUUUGUUUAUGUCGGCGACGUUCUUGGCUGGUGAAAGGAAGGCGCGACGGGAGAAAGGGAUUGUCGGAGAUUGAAGGAAGAGACCUUUUUCUCUUUUUCUUUUUCGUGCAUAUCUUUAGGAUUUUAGGGUUACGGAGAAGGAAAGGGUUUCCACUCCUCACGUUUUCAAUCGGAGAAGAAAUGGGAUUUGUCCAGUUUGCCCUCUAAAUUCAUUUUUUAAUACAAAAAUCAAUUCAUACUGAGUUUAGUACACGUCAAUUAAAAACUGAGUUUAACGUGGCACAUCAAUUAGAUACUAAUGCCGUUGGAUCCAAUUUAAUAAUAGACUUCUAAUUGUUAUAAUUUUUACAAAAUUAGGAUCCAAUUGAGAAACUAAAAAAUAAUGGGACGAAAUUGAAAUUUUGCUCAAAAACAAAGACUUUCUGAAUGAUUAAACCUAAAAACAUUAAUUAUGAUUAAAUCCAGUAAUUAAAAAAAGAUUUAAAUCCAAUAAUUCUAGUUCCAAUUUUCAUUUACUUUGUUUAAUUUGGUCUUCAUUUUAUUCGGAUGUUUAAUAAGAUUCUAAUUUUCGUCAAUUUCUUUUUGUAAUAACAUUUAAAUGGUUAAUGAAAAAUAAAUAACGUGUAUCAUGUUAGUUUAUAUUUUUUUAAAUUUUUUAUUUUUUAUUUAAAAAAAUUAUUUACUAUCAACUCAACAUUAUAUCUAAAUAAUACUAGUUGCCCAUAAGUUAAGUUACGAGAGACUUAUGUACUUCCCUUUCGUUAAAAUUGAAAAAUAAUACUAGAUAAAUUAAUUAUAAUAAAUAUUCUCACCAAAAUCCUAUGAAUAUUCCUAUAAUAAAUAUAAUAUUAUUCCAUAAUAAAUACAUUAAUGAACUUAAUUACCAAAGUUCAUCACUAAUUAUAUUUAAACCAAAACUAAAUUAACCUUUACUAAUAGUCAGAACUAUGUUAGCCUUAACUAAUAAUAAAAAAAAAUUAAUCCAACUUACUAAUUAAAACUAAAAACUAAAUAACAAUUAUAAUUUUAAAAUACUAAAUUUUAAUAGGUAAAAAUAUCUUGUCCACAAAGGACAACUUUUUUUUUUUUUAAAUUGUCCUUGCUUAAGAGUUCAUUGUCAGAAAAAGCUUCAACAUAUAACAGGAGUUUUGUGAUAUACUUAUUUGGAUAAAAGGAUAUUGUAUGUAAUUAUAUACUUAUUCUCUUUUUUAUACCUUUAAAUGUAUUAGAAAUUAAUAAAUACUAUAAGAAAAAUUAACGAUCAAAAUUUGUCGAUAAAUUUAAAUUAUUUGCAGUUUAUUAAUGAUAAAAAAGUUGUUGAUAAAUUUAUCGAUGCAAUCUUUGUUUUGCUACUAAUUAUCAAUUUCUAUCGGUAAAUUCAUUCAUAAUUACUGAUAGAUUUUUUUGUUGGUAAAUCUGUCGGUAAUUAUUGACAAAAAAAUUAGUAGGGAAAUUUCAUCGGUAAUUAGUGAUGAAAAAAUCUGUUGGUAAAAUUUUUCGGUAAUUAUUAAUGGAAUUUUCUAUCAACAAAAAUCGCGAUCUGUUUCAUCUUCUUUUCCUCUUUCAUUCUCAUUCUUCUUUCUUUCAUUUUUACCAAUUCAGAAGAAUGAACACAUUUCAAACAAAAUAUCUUCAAUCCAAAUUACAAGCAUUGAUAAAAUUUUGGAGAAAAAAUUAAGGUUCAUGCCAAACAGAGGCGUUGCACGAUUGGGAAAACGUUGGCUUUGGUUGGGCUUGGAGGACAACAGUUGCAUUGCACGACGAUGACAAUGCUUAGAGUGUGGAAGAGUAAGAAAAAAGACAUUGUCCCUCCCCUAUGUGUGUUAGAGAAUAAGAGGAUGGAGUGGAAGAUCUCAAUGACGUCGAUGUAGGUGAACACAAUGACCUACACUAGUAAAAAAGGAGGCUUUUAACGCGCUACAUAGGCCUCGGUUAUUACAAAACCAGAACAUAUAAAAAUGCAGUGGCGUUUAUGUAAAUAUUGAAACAUUAUAUGCCUCGGUUGGCGUCUACCUGAGGCCGUAGGCACUUUCUUCUUCGGUUAAGCUGUAGCCUGAGGCAUAUAACUUUAAUUUUAAAUUUUUUUUAAGCCUUUAGACACCGGUUUUUCUUUUAACCAGGUCAGUAGCCCUUUGUUAGGUCUGAGAAAACUUAAAAGUUACUUUCUUCCUCGUGCUCUGGUUUCUUCCUUUCUCUCUCACAUUUUCUUUUUCUCCGUUGGUGCCUCCUUGCUGCCGCCGCUGCUGCCUCUCUGGUGCUGCCGUUGCUGCCUCCCUGGUGCCGCCGUUGCUGCCUCCGGUGCUUCGUCCAAGGAGUCCACAGUGACGCCUCCCCCGCCGCUUCUCGUCGCUCCUUCGUCGCGUGCUCGCCCCUCUGUCGCGUGCUUGCCCCUCUUCGUCGCUCCUUCUAUCGCGUUUCUCUCACUGCGUCAAAGGCCGCGGCGCCACAGUUCAUCCACGCCGGCGUCUCCAUUGGGUUUGGUCUUCCUUGCGGUGACACAAAUUGGGGGUUUCCUGUGUAGGUGCGAAUUCAUGAUUAGGGAUUCCAUGGUCUAAUUUGGGGAUUUUUCUGUAGGUUUCAUGGACGAAGUACGAAGAGGUUGUUGGAGAUGAAGGAACUCUCUAUUUGGCUCACGGUGGUGAUGGUGAAGCAUCACGAUUUGGCUAUGCGAAUUGGGAAUUUUCGAAUUAAUUUUGUGAUUCUGGUUUGUAGGUUUCUUCGGAUGGAGGUUUUUUAUUGUUGGUGUGAGUGGUUUUUGGCUUUUACUGCAGGUGGUUGGAUGAUUGAUGGAGGCAUUGCAUGAGGAGGAUGAUGAAUUGGGUUCUUGGCUAGGUGUUUUUGCAGGUCUGGAAAAUUUUUUUGAUGAUGGACGAAGAAGAUGGUGGUUCGGAAAUUGGGUGGCAGGGCGAUUCUCGCGAAGGACGAAGGUGGUCUAUGGUGGUGUUUUGGGUGGUCCGAUGCGAGAAAGAUGAACCUGCAAUGGGAGAUCAUGGUGGCACAUGGUCGUGUUGGCGGUGUGUGGAGUGAAAGAUAUUCAAAAUGAACAAAGGUGCAAAUAUGGCGAUCUCGUGGUGGUCAGCGGCGUGACCAUACUGCCUCGGUUCCUUUUGAACGGAGGUCAAAUUCUACAUCGUUUUGACUUGGUUCACAGCCGAGGCAUAAGAGUGUACACUUUUUACUUCGUCUUUAUAUGCCUCGGGUGAACAGCCGGUGCCUAUAGCCAAAAGUAACCGGUGCCGUUGUCUCUUUCUGAACUACUGCUAGUUAAACGAAGAUGGAGGUGCGUUAAAGAAACUUGUACCUACGGUGGUCUGAGCUGAGAUGGAGAAUAGUGGAAGAAUGCAGAGGCUACAUCGUGUAACAAAAAUGAAGACCUGCGAAAAAGAGAGCGAAAUAAAUAAUUCUCUCGUGGAUAGAGGAAAAAUUUGGAGGAAAAUUCCCACUCUUUUUAUCGAUAGAUUUACCGACGAAAUUUUUUGUCGAUAAUUCAUAUUUUAUUUAUCGAAAAAUUUACUAACAGACGUUUUCAUUGGGAAGUGAAAUAUAUAUUACCGACACAUUUUUUUGUCGAUAAGUAAAAUAUGAGACCAACAAAUUUUUCUACGGAAAAAUCUAUCGAUAAGUGAAAAAUGGAGGUAAAAUUCUCGCUUUUUUCACUGACAAAUUUUUUUCAUUGGUAAUACAUAUUUUCUCAAUUUUUUUUUGUCGAUAAGUAAAAUAUGCAUUAUCAACUGAUUUUUUGUUGAUAAUAAAUCCAUUGAUAAAAUUAGUUGAUAAAUUGAAUUUGAAAAAUCUGUGAAUAAUAUCUAUUGAUAAUUCAAAUUUAUUUCAUAUUUAUUUCUGUGGAUAAAAUUUUGUUGAUAAUUUCAAGAAUUUUUGCAAUAAAAAUAAAUCAAAUAUGAAAAAAAAUUAAUAAACUUAUUAUUCAUAAAUAUUAAGUUAAAGAUAGUAUCUUUACCUCUUAUAAAGUUUUAAUUGUGGCUAGCUUUUAAAGUAGUUUUAAAGAUUCUUUAGCUAUUUGAUUCAAAUUAGUAAAUAAAAUAAUUUGAAGAAAAGUAAAAGAAAAUAUAUUACGUUUUUAAAUAUAAAGAUAUUGAGAUGAAAAUAUGUAAAUUUGAAAUACCACUCAUUCAACACCUUAAUUAUUCGACUACUACUUCCUGCACCCUUUUUUACUUCACGCAUCCUCUAAUUUAUAAAAUACUUGAAUCAAUAGUAAAGUGAACCAUAAUCGUCUCUUUAUAGAUAUUAAUUUAUAAAGUUAACCCUAAUUUAUAUGUAGGAAGAAAAAUAGGGAAGUGCAGGAAGAAUCACCUUAAUAUCUUUUAGAAUUAAGCAUACAAAUUACAUGAAGAUAGAAAAGGAAAAUGAAGAUAUAGACUUGUAACAUUAGGAAAAGAACGAAGCAUGCAAUAAUCCUAAUGUUACAUAUUAAAGAGGAAGAAACACACUUUGGCAAUGAAAACCUUAUUUUAGCAACAUAUUAUGAUGUUUUUAACAUCUGAUCAUACUGAUGAAGAAGGUAAUAAGGUUAUUUACGUUCAUCUCCAGCCACCUAUUUAUACUGUUAUGAAAUCGGAUCCUCAGCUUUUUUUUAUCCUGAUAUUUUUUUAUUUUGAAAAGGAUAAAAUAAUGGAAAAUAAUAAUAUUUUAGUUAUGUUUACAUUACUUCUUUAUUUAAAAGUGUAAUAAUAUAAAUUAUUAUAUUAUUAAAAAAAGGGUCAAAUGAAUAUAUUUUUAAGAAGAGUUUCCAAAAACUUUUUCCUCUUGAGUUGAUUAAUAAUUUUUUUAGGGUUAAAUAUGUUUUUGGUUCCGUAACUUUUAGUAAAAAUUGGAAUUAGUCCCUCUUCAAAAUUUUAGCCUAACUUAGUACUCCAACUUUAGAAAUAUAUAAAUUUAGUUCUUUUAACUGAACUUUUUUAGAUUUAUUCGAUAUUUUAAGCACGUUUCAUGAUAGCAUUUGGGUUGUUUAUACUAUUUGACACAUUUUUCCUUCAGUGUCAACUGAGAAACGCGUUUAAAGCAUCAAAUAAAAUUAACAAAAUUUGGUUAAAAGGAUUAAAUUCAUACAUUUAUAAAGUUGGAAGACUAAUUAAAUCAAAGUUUUGAAGAGAAACUAAUUCCAAUUUUCACUUAAAGUUAAGAGACAAAAGCAUAUUUAACUUUUUUUUAUAACAUCAAAUUACACAAAAUACAUAUUUUUAUAUUUUUCUUUAUUAAAAUAGUCAGAUCAACUUUAAGGUAUCAAAAUUUUAUUUUUGUAUGGACGUAUGUACAUAAAGCACGUGACGAAAUGUGAUAUUGAUAAGAUCAGACGUGCAAAAAACAAAUUUAAUAAUUGUCCUCUCUCCUGCCACCGAUAUUGAAAGCUGCCACACCGUAUUUCUUCUUAAAUACAUACGCCCAAAGUGUUAAUUUACAUAUGUAAUUGCGGAAUUAUGUAUGAAAAAUAAGGUGAAUUGAAAAUAAAUUUGUAUGUUUCAUUGUAUAUGAAUUUAUGAAUGUAAAACUAAGUAAAAACUAACCAUCAAGGUAAUAAUAUUUUGUAUAUUUUUCAAGAAAUUAAAUAAAUAAUGAUGUUAAUCUUCUCAUGGAAAAUGACCGAGCUAUAUAAAUCUUGCUGUAUUUUCUCACGUGUUUGGGACCAGCAUUCAAUUUUUGUCCGGUUGUUUCCUUUGUGAUAAGAUUGUAAUGAAAUUGAACUACGAAUUCUAAGACGUGAUAGCAUUUGUUUGUGCUCCAAUUUCUUAGCUUUUUAAGUUAAGUAUCGCUCAUCCCUUAAUCCUUAACCCCUCCUAGUCUCAAUAAUUAUAACAUGCACAUAAGUUAUAUAUACAUAUUAUAAUAACGUGAAUGGAGUUAUUUAUAAUUUUACUUACAAUCUAGAUUGUACUGGGGAUAUUCCGGACGAAUAAUAUGGCCGGUCUUCGGGAACAAGGAUUGAUGUAUGAAAUAAUUGAGUAAAUGUAACGGUCAGUCAUCUUAGAGAAGAGUAACUGGACGGCCAGAAACAGACGGUAGGGAAGAUCAAGGUAAGACCAGUUUAGUUAAGGUAAUUGUAUGAUUAAGACUAUUGGGCCAAGAUUGGGGCCUGAUUGGGACCACCUUAAUAUUAAGCCCAUAUCCAAAACUAUAAAUACAAGCCACAUGUACCAGGUAAGUGGGUUCAUUUAUUGCGUAUUUAAUUCUGAGCUCUGAUAACCGAUCGAACAUUUGAACUGACUUAAGCAUCAGAGUACCUUUAGCAGGUACCCUCCCGGGGCAUACGUCGGACGAGGAGGACGGACGAUCAGAGGACCAUAGGAGAGACAGACAGUAGAAAGAGAGGAAAUUGUGAAGGGUUUGUCUGACUCGACCACACACUGGAACAUAGAUAGUUUUUUUUUUAUCUUUUAAUAUCUCCACAACAAUCUAAAAUUAUUAGUCUUGUUUAUCAUGAAUUUUAGAGUAAAGAAAAAUGUCAUGUAUAAAAUUUUUUCAUGUUGGUAGGAUAAUCGCUUGAAGAGUUCUUGUCUCUGUUGUAUGUCCUCCUUGUUACUUGCUCUAAAUGAUCGAUCGGUAUAGGAGAUGACAUGCAGAAUACACAGUCAGAAUUUUUCUCUUUAUCUUUAUAGGCCUUUUGUAAUUUAAUAGUGAGUAAAAAUGAGUUUACCUCGACAUUAGCUCCUAUUUAUAGAAUUUAUAAGAAUCUAAAUUAAUUUAUCUCUUAACCGCUUAACAGUAGCUGUUGUGACAUUAAUUGUGCCAUAACUCCGUUCAAUGGUUGUCGGGACCGAACGGUCAUGAGGUGCUUUCUUGCAACCAACUGUUCAAUCUUCUCCUUCCAGCUUGAGACCGAGCGGUCAUGGGACGCUUUCUCGUUUCCUCAACCGCUCGGUCUUUUCCUUUCAGCUUGUCAUUGUUCUCGAUCACUCGAAUGUGAGCCCAUAGUAACAUAGGCCCGCCAAGCCCUAACAUAAUCUUAGUUAUGCAUAGGUUGACAAGGUUGUUAAUUACUUACUCGUGCGGUUCAUUGGCCCAAAGUAUUUUUGAUGUGCCUUAAGUUCCUGAUCUUUUAUACACCGAGCAUUUUUUACUCUAGGAGUUCACUCGGAACGUUCCUAGGUCAAAAUUCUAAGGUGAGAGCUACAAAAGCGUUCCUCACCGAACAUUUGUGAGAGCUACGAAAGCGUUCCUCACAAACCGAACGUUUGUGAGAGUUACAAAAACGUUCCUCAUAAACUGAGCAUUUUUUACUCUAAGAGUUCACUUGGAAUGUUCCCUAGGUCAAAAUGCUAAGGUGAAAGCUACAAAAGCGUUCCUCACCGAACUGUUGUGAGAGCUUCGAAAACGUUCCUCACAAACCGAACGUUUGUGAGAGCUACAAAAUUGCUCCUCACAUAUCGAGCGUAUUUAACUCUAAGAGUUCACUUGGAAUGUUCCCUAGGUCAAAAUGCUAAGGUGAGAGAUACAAAAGUGUUCUUCACCAAACAAUUGAGAGUUUCGAAAGCGUUCCUCACAAACCGAACGUUUGUGAGAGCUACGAAAGUGUUCCUCACAAACUGAGCAUUUUUUACUCUAGGACUUCACUUGGAACGUUCCUUAGAUCAAAAUGCUAAGGUGGGAGUUACAAAAGCGUUCCUCACCGAACGAUUAUGAGAGCUUCGAAAGCGUUCCUCACAAACCGAAUGUUUUUUACUCUAGGAGUUCACUUGGAAUGUUCUCUAAGUCAAAAUGCUAAGGUGAGAGCUACAAAAGCGUUCCUCACUGAACGGUUGUGAGAGCUUCAAAAGCGUUCCUUACAAACGAAACAUUUGUGAGAGCUACGAAAACAUUCCUCACAAGCUGAGCGUUUUUUACUCUAGGAGUUCACUUGGAACGUUCCCUAGGUGAAAAUACUAAGGUGAGAGCUACAAAAGCGUUCCUCACUGGACGGUGGAUACUAGGAGUUCAUUGAAAACGUUCCCUAGGUCCUAAAUGCUAAGGUGAGAGCUACGAAAGCAUUCCUCACCGAGCGGUUCACACUAGGAGUUUACUUGGAAUGUUCCAUAUGUCAAAGGUGCUCAAGUGAGAGCCACGAAAGCAUUCCUCACUAAGAGGUGGACACUAGGAGUUCACUUGGAACUUUCCCUAGGACCAAUCUUUUCAUAUAACUUCCUAAGACUUUUGAUAAAAAUCAUUUGAUAUUAUUAAUAGUAGAAUUGCAAAUACAUAAUAAUUUUUUAGAUGAAAUAUGAAGUGGAAUACCAUUCUCUGUUCUUGCCACGAUUAUGUAGUUUGUUUGGCACAAAUGCUCGCUUGCCCACCUUCAGUUCCUGGCCUGCCGAGGAUGAAGCAUUCUCUUCAUACUGCCUUUUUUGGACAACCCAUAUCUCCCUGAUUCAAAUGAACUCAACGACCUUCUCCUGCAUUUCUCCCAGGGUUAAAAGGUGGUCGAGCAAAUAAGCUAUUUGUAGAGGAGCACGACCUUAAGGCUGUUGACAAGGUGCUGAUAAUGAACUUUUUGUCAACACCUGCCUGCGAUCCGGUUGUACCGAUCCAUGAAGUCCCUCAAGCUUUCAUCUUUCCCUUAUCUGACUUUAGCCAGUUCCAUAAAGGUAAGGUUUUGCGUCUUACUAGAAGUGAACUUUCGCUCAAACAAAUGUCUCAAAGUCCCAAAACUAUCAACGGGUAUAGGACGAAGAGAGUGAAACCAUGCCAAAGUUUCUCCUUUAACCGACAAGGAAAAAACCCAGCACCAAACCCUCUCAUGAGGUGAGUAUAUCGCCAUUGCAUCCGCAAAAGACCUCAGAUGCUCCUCUGGAUCACCUGAUCCAUCAAAGUUCUAUAUAUUGGGAGGCAUCUCAUUAGGCAUUUACUCCUCCAUAAUUGCAGUUGUAAUUGAGUGAAGCGCCCCGGCCCGAGCGGAAUUAACCGGGCGGGCGAGGCAACUCCUGGAACUGUUCCCCUGAUCCGUGCCUUCUUGAUCAAAAUCUGGAAAUUCCACAAUGGGCGGCGUUUGAGCGCGUGUCGCCGACUGCUGAUUUGACUGGGCCUUCCACCCUACAUCACGCUCCGCCCUUAAAGUUUCAAUCUCAACCUGCAUGGCUUCCAUCCUCCUCUGCAUUUCCUGUAUCGCAACCCACGGGUCUUGUUGUCCUGCCAUUCUUAUGGUUUCGCUAUGGUGUCUUCAAAUAUCCUCGGCUCCAUGAUGGUCAAAAUUUUUCUUUGUAGGCAUUUUGUAAUUUGAUAAUGAGUAAAAAUGAGUUUACCUUGACAUUAGCCCCUAUUCAUAGAGUUUAUAAGAAUCUGACAAAUUAAUUUACAUCUUAAUGAUCAUUAAUGCAAACAUUAACAAUAACUGUUGUGACAUUAAUUGUUUCUUAACUCUGUUCAACGGUUGUCGGGACUGAGCGGUCAUGAGGUGCUUUCUUGCACGCCAACCGUUCGGUCCUCUCCUUCUAGCUUGAGACUGAACGGUCUUUUAUGGCGCUUUCCUGUUCGGUCUUUUCCUUUCAACUUAUUGUUCCCGAUCGGUCGAAUGUGGGUCCACAGUAACAAAAGUAAUUAUAAAAUAAUCUGAAAAUUAGAUGAGAAAUUUAUUUAUUAAUUUUCUUCCAUUAAUAAAUUUGUAGUAAAUAUUGUAAUUUGUUUAUUUUCAUCAUUUCCCAUUAUCGUAUAUUCUCAGGUUUAUCAUCACCCCAUCAUAUUUAUUAUUGUCAUUAUUGCUAUGUGACUUUCCUUUAACUCUUAGUCUUCAUUUUCUUUUCUAUUGAUGUUGUCGUUACUGUUAUUUCCAUUAUCGUCAUUACCUUCUUUUCCUUUUCUCUUAAUUCUUCUCUUCUUUUUAUUUUCACAUACUUUUAUACAGUUUUUAACAAAUAUUUUUUGAAAAAAAAAAUUAAUGCCUAUUUUACUUAUUGACGAAUUUUCAAAAACUCAACUAUUAAAAUAUUUUCAAAAAAAAUUCAAUCAAUUGAUAUAUUUACUGAGAAUUAUUAUUUUUUUUUAUAAAAAUCUAUUAUUAACGAACUUAUCACAACAUCUUCAGAGCCUAAAAUAAGAAGUUUUAAUGAUCAUUUUGUCAACAUAGUUUAUCGACAAUAACAUAUUUCAUUAGUAAAUUUUUUAAAUUAUUAACAAAUUUUACUGAUUAAUAAAUAUUUUUAUUGAUGAUUAAAAUUCAUUUGUUAAUAAAUUCUAUUUUAUUAAUAAAUUUUUUUAUUGAUAAACAUUUGAAUGAUAGAUAAUUGAAAUAUAUAUAUAUAUAUAUAUAUAUAUAUAUAUAUAUAUAUAUAUAUAUAUAUUAUUCAACCUUUUUACUUUUACCUACCUACAUAUAAUAUAAUAAUAUGAUAUAAAUACAUAUAAUAUAAUACAUAGAGAGAGCAUGUUUAACCAUUUCUCUUUUCAAACAAAUUAUUACUUAUCCAUCAGAAAUAUCAUACCAACCCAAAAUAAUAUAUAUAAGAAUAUUCUUAGAAAUGUGUAUUUGGUAAUUUUGUUUGUAAAUCUUUGAGCUAUAUUUGUUUGUUUGAUAGUUCAUUUUGUAGUAUCUUUUAAAUUUAUAUUUUUUAUUAACACCUAUAAAUAAAUACAUUUUCAUAUUUGACUUGUUUAAACAAGGUAAUUUACUUUUUUACUUCUUUCUCACUUUUUUCCUUUAACACUUUCACUUCUCACCUUUUCUCAUAAUAGAAAAGGAAUUACAAAGUAAAAUCAGUACUUUCUUUUGGAUAAUAUUUAUCUAUCUUACUCUGCAUUCCAAUAGUGUACUAUUUAAUAUGAAUAAAAUUGGUUUAAAUAUGUUUUAUGUUUUAUCUUAAAAAAAGUUCUUCUUCCUCCUCCAAAAUAAAGUUGUAAAAAGUGAUUUCAUAAGUUUUAAUUACAGGAUCAAAAUAUUUUAACAAUAUUUUUUAACAAUUUUUGAUAAAAAAUGUGUUAUCAUUUUAUUAGUCUAUUUGAAUUUAUAUAUAAAAAAUUAUUUAAAAUAGAUUAAUCAUAACCUAUUAUAUACCUUAUCAAAAAACUAUAAAAAGAAAUUGUUAAAAGAAAAAUUUAGUUUGAAAGGGACGUGGCAAUAAAAGAAAGUGAACACGUUUUUCACAUAAAGAUUUAGUUUUACGUACUAUGAACUAGGUGGUCAUACUUCUUCCGUCGUUUGUAUAUCAAUGAAGGUGACAACACUUGAAAUCAUUAGCUGCCACGAAAAAAGAAAUUUCAUAAACGUAAGACUUUCAUUUUCCUUCUCUCUCACAAUGUUUUGCAACAACUUUAUUUCAGCAUGCUAGGCGACACGCCACAUGUCACACUUUUAAUAACUUAUAGAAUUAAGCAUACAAAUUACAUGAAGAUAUAGGAAAGAAACAACCACUUACAGAAGAGGAAAACCAAAAUCUAGACUUGUAACAUUAGGAAAAGAAAGAAGCAUCCAAUAAUCCUAAUGUUACAUAUUAAAGAGAAAGAAACACACUUUGGCAAUGAAAACUUUAUUUUUGCAACAUACUAUGAUGUUUUUUAACAUCUGAUCAUACUGAUGAAGAAGGUAAGGUGAUUCAUGAGAGUGAAUCCCUUCAAUCGGUGACUGGCAAAAUGCCUUUAAGGACUGGCCAACCUUCAACGAUAAGAGUCACAUCACCCAGAAGUGUGUCCUGACUUCCAUGUGGGUCGGCUUUCAUACGCACAUACUCGUCUCCUUUGAAAAGGUAGACUUCAUUCUCCAAAUGAGAAGCAAAACACGCAUCAAUUCCAUUUUCAAAGAUCGUACUUUUCAAAACAGGGAACCCUUCGCUGAUCUCAUAAAAGCGCUGAGUAAGUUUCUUGGUAUUAUAAUCAAUGCGAGCAUACUGAUUUCCCUUGAAUAUGUAAACUUCUUUGUCUCUGGUUGACCUAAAUGCACCAUCCACGCCCUCAGCAAACACCGUGUUUUUUAGGUCGGGAAACAUUUCAGCGAUUGUGGUAGGACCUACGAGGAUCCUGUCGUUUCCUGUGUUUGGAGCAUAGUCUAUGUAGGCACAGGUCUUGUUCGAGAAGAUAUAUGCUUCACUGCCUUCAGUGUUAAAGGCACAGUCUAUUCCUUGUUCUGCAAAUGGCGUUCCUGCAAGUGAUGGAAAACCAGCACUAACCAAUUCAAGAGGAGUCAGAAGUUCCUCACCUGUUGUUCCGGGAGUGUAAUACAGCCUCACGUACUUGUUUUUCAUGAAGAAAUAGACUUGGAAUGGCAUUGAUGAAGGGAAUGCGGCAUUGAUAUAGACAGUGCCUGACAUUUUUCUUAACACAAGAAGAAGAAGGAGUAAGAGAAAAAGAUAGAUAGAUAGAUUGAGUUUGCUUAUUUUCCUUCAUCUCCAGCUACCUAUUUAUACUGUUAUGAAAUUGGAUCCUCAGCCUUUUUCUUUUCUUUACAUUUUGUUCACUCUAUACACACAUGUGGAAUUCAAAAAGAUCCUCAUAUUUUUUUACUUUUCAAAAGGAUAAAAUAAUAAUAUUUUAGUUAUGUUUACAUUACUUUUUUAUUUAAAAGGUAAUAUAAAUUGUUAUAUUUAUUAAAAAAAGGGUCAGAUGAAUAUAUUUUUAAGAAGGGUGUCCAAAAACUUUUUCCUCUUAGAGUUGUUUAAUAAAUUUUUUAUAACAUUUAAUUACACAAAAUAUAUAUUUUUAUAUUUUCUUUAUUAAAAGAGUCGGAUCAACUUUAAGGUAUCAGAAUUAUUAUUUUUGUACGGACGUAUCUGUACAUAAAGCACGUGACGAAAUGUGAUAUUGAUAAGAUCAGACAUGCAAAAACAAAUUUAAUAAUUGUCCUCUCUCUUGCCACUUAUAUUGCAUUUUCCUAAAUAAAUAUACCCAAAGUGUUAAUUUACAUAUAUAAUUGCAUAAUUCUAUAUGAAAAUACGGUUAAUUGGAAAUAAAUUUGUAUGUUUCAUUGUAUAUGAAUUUAUGAAUGUAAAACUAAGAAAAAUCUAACCAUCAACGUAAUAUAUUUUUCAAGAAAUUAAAUAAGUAAUGAUGUUAAUCUUUCACAAAGAUAACUUCAUGUGUGCAGGUUUGAUAGAAAAAUUCAUGAUGCAUCCAUAAUACAAAGAAAGAGAACAAGAAGGAGGAAAAGAGUAUAUAUAUUUCAUAUAUAUAUAUAUAUAUAUAUAUAUAUAUAUAUAUAUAUAUAUAUAUAUAUAUAUAUAUAUAUAUAUAUAUAUAUAUAUAUAUAUAUAUAUGAAAUAUAUAUAAGAUAAGAGAGGGAAAGAAUAGAAAAAUUGAAAGCAAUAAAUGAGGAGUGGUGAAGUGGUGCGGUGUAGUGGAUUUGGUUGGAAUAUUAUUUCUGACAAUCUUCUCAUCGAAAUGAAUCUUGUUGUAUUUUCUCACGUGUUUGGGAUGUUGGGAGAGGUGAAUACCUGCAAAGUUAUGAGCAACUUCGAAAUCCAAAAAAUAAGACAAGUUACCCAUUUUUUUUUUUAUUUUGAAUUGAGCAUUGAGUAUAUUGGUGAUGUGAUCAAUUUCAUGCAUAUUGUUACUGGUAAGGAUGAUAUCAUCAAUAUAAAUGAGUAAGAUAGUGAUUGUAGCACCAUUACGUUUGAUAAAAAGAGAAUGAUCACCAGAAGUUUGAGUAAACAUGUUAGAGAGAAGGAAAGAAGACAAAUUGUCAUACCAUUGGCGGCUGGCUUGUUUCAAGCCAUAGGGAGAUUUAUGUAAAAAACAUACUUUGUUGUGGUUGGAAUGAUGGAAUCCCGAAGAAGGUUGUUUUCCUAUGUACCUAGUGGAUCUCCUCGGAGAGGUAAUGCUGGUGUCAGUAUGAGUGGCAGUAACAGUAGAGGGAAUAAGUGCAGGAUGAUGGGUUUGAUGUAGGUAAUGAAAGGUAUCAUGAUGAUGGAGAGGCAAGGAUAAAGUGGAGUUUGGAGGGAAGGAGGAGGGGUAUUGGGAAAUUCAUUUUCACAAAAGGUAACAUUGCGAGAAAUCUGUAUGUCAUAGGUGUCAAGUCUAUAGAUGAUGUAUCCUUUUGUAGUAGGAUGUAAACCAAGGAAGAUGCUUGGGGUAGCCCUUCGGUCAAGUUUUUUUUCUAUGAGCUUGGAGGGUGUGCUAGUAUAACAAAUGCAUCUGAACACCCUAAGUCUAGAAAUAUCAAAAUCUUUAUGAAAGAGUUUGUCAUAUGGGGAGUUAUUAUUAAGAAGAGGAGUGUGCAUAAUGUUGAUAAGAAGAGUUGCAUAGUUAAGGGCAUAUGUCCAAAAUUGAUUAGAAUGUUUUGAGUGAAAAAGCUAGGCCCCAGUAACAUUUAAAAGGUGUUGAUGUUUUCUUUCAACAAUACCAUUUGUUGGGGUGUUUCAUUACAUGAAUUUUUGGUGAAUAAUCCCUUGAGAGUUAAAGUAAUCAUGCAUGGCAAACUCUGGCCCAUUAUUAGACCUGAUGACUUUAAUAGUUGUUCGGAAUUGAUUCUUGACAUGUUAUAUGAAAAGCAAAAGAUGAUUGCGAGCUUCAGGUUUAGCAUGCAUCAAAUGAACCCAAGUAUAUCUAGUAUGGUCAUCAACAAUAGUGAGAAAGUAUUUAUGAGAAUGUAGGGAUGCAGUGGGACAAGGUCCCCAAAUGUCAACAUGUAUGAUAUCAAAGGCAUGAGAAGCAACAUAAUUGUUUGAAGUAAAAGGCAAUUUCUUUUGCUUAGCCGUGUGGUAGGCAUUACAAUUGUUUGUCUGAGAAUUUAUGCAAGGAUAUUUUUGUGCAAGAAUACCUAAACAUUUAUCAGAUAAGUGGCCUAAGCUGUUGUGCCAAAUAUUAUUUCUAUCAGCAGUGUGUGUGUUGUGUGCAUUGGUAGGAUGUACAGAGACAACAACAUUGAGGUUAGGUCCAUGAAAAACAUAUAGGCCAGCGCGAGAGUCAACUGAACCAAUCUUGUGAUGUGUCAUUGAGUCUUGGAUAAAACAUGUGGAAUUAGUAAAAAUUACACGAACACCAUUAUGCAGAACCAAUUUGGAUAUAGAGAUCAAAUUAUAACAAAAAUCUGGAAUGUAAAGAACAUCUUUAAGACAAACUUUAUCACAGAGUUGGAUAGUUCCUUUAUGUGUAGCUUGUGUAGUGAUACCAUUAGGAAGAUUAAUUUUCACAGGUGUAAUUUGAUCAUAAGAAUGAAGAUGUUUAAGAGAGGAAACAACAUGGUCAGUGGCACCAGAGUCCAAUAUCCAUGUUGUGGUACCUGAGUCACCAACAAUAUUAAAAUGCAGAAGCGUUUUACUUGUAUUUGAGGAACUAGAAAUUAAGGAGCCAAUUUGAGGAUUGGAAACGAUAACAGCAUCAGUGUUAGGGUUUAGGAGAGCCAUAAGAGUCUGGUAUUGUUGUUUUGUGAGUCGCAUUUCAUGGUCAAUUGUUUCUCCUUGAUUGACAUUGGCAAGUUCUUGAUUUCUUGAAAGCAGACUUUUACCAUUGUAGAACUUGUGUGGGGACCCAUGCUUCUUAUAACACGCAUCAACAGUAUGAAUGGUUUUGCCACAGUGGGAACAAGAUUUUUUGUUGGGUGAAGGUUUUGCAGGAAGACCGUGCUUCUUGAAACAAACAUUAUCAGUGUGGCCAGUCUUACCACAAAAAGAACAGGUGACAGUGCUUAUAGUGGCAGUAAUAUUGUUAGAUUCCAAAUGAUUCAGAAAAGUAUUAUGCACUAAUUUCUUUCUUGUUGCAUGACAUAGGAGAAAAUUUUGGAAACAAAAGGUAUGGGAUCCAUUAGGAGGACAUGAGAUUGAAUGUUACCAUACUGUUCGUUCAAGCCUCUUAUAAAUUGCAAGGCUCGGUCCUAAUGUUUUCUUUGUGAAAUGAUGGAGAGCAUUUUGCAAGAGCAUUUGAUAUCACAGGUUCAGAUCGAGUUAGUUAUAAAAUUAUCCAAUUCGUCCCAUAUAAUGUGUAAUUUUGUGUAGAAUUCAGUGAUAAUUUGGCUGCCUUGUCUGAGAGAAGAAGCUUCUUUCUGUAGUUUUGAGAUGCGCAACAUCCCCUUGAAAAAACCUAGAUUUGAGAUCAUUCCAAAUGGCUUGGGCAUCAUCCAUCCAAAGAAUGUUGUGCCUGAUCUCUGGAGAAACGGAGUGGACCAACCAAGAGACCACCAUGUUGUUGCAUCUCUUCCAUGCAUUGUGCGAUGGGUUUUCUCUAGACGGUUCUUUAGCAGUUCCAUCAAUGAAUUGUGCUUUAUUCUUGGCACUUAACGUAGUGGUCACAAAUUUGCUCCAUGCAUGGUAAUUAUUGGAACCAAGAAGAGGAGAAACCAGAAAUGUGGCUGGGCUUUCGCUGGGAUGAAGGUAUAAAAAGCUUGAAGGAUGAUUGUUCUCGUCAUUCAUGGCGAAAUAAUUGAAAAAGAAAGUAAAAGAUCUUCAAGAACCUCACAAGACAAAAGGCAGAGAAGAUGACAGAGUAUAAGGCGCAACAGAGCUCUUCAAAUGAAGAGCUCCGAUACCAUCACAAAGAUAACUUCACAAUGACUGAUGGAAUCUGUGCAGGCUUCAUAGAAGAAUUCAUGAUGCAUCCAGAAAAGAAAGAAAGAGAACAACAAGAAGGAGACACUAGUGAAAAAACACUGUUUAACAUCACCCCUUAGACGUCAGUUUCGUGAAAAUCCGACAUCUAUUACUGCACGGUGGCAUUAUCGUAAAUAAAUUGGAAAACUAGACGUCAGUUUCGAUAUCAGGCAACGUCUAUGACAUCAUAGACGUCGCACCUGCCGCAAACUGACGUUCAAUUGCCUGAGGUAUGUGAUAAGACAGUCCAUUAACGUCAGUGUUUCAGGGGACCGAUGUCUACUAGGUUGCAAUUAAUGCUGCUGAUAACUCUCCAAAUUUACAUAUUUUUCUGUGUUUAAAGAGUCUUACUUAGCUUUUAUUUGUUCUUAAUUGUUUAGAAUUAGGCUAGUUUUAGAAUUUUUGUUUAAAAUUGUAGUUUUAUAAAAUUGUAGUUAAAAAUAGAUUUUUAGUAUAUUUUUUUAGUACAUUUGUAAAUAAUUAGAAAAUUAGUAUUUUUUUUUGAAAUUCUUUCAAUAAAAAUGUUUUGUUUUAAUUAGGUUUUAAUCACAUAAUUUUUCUUAAUUGCAUUUUAACCCUUUAAUUCAAUUUUUUUUAGAUUUGGAUCUAAUUGGGCUUGGAAAACGCUGCUACCACUGCAAUGCUUGGAGGAUUUAAAUUGAUUUGGGCCGUCGCUGGAAGCUGCACUACAAGUGAAAAUUGGGCUGCACAUUUAAUUGAGUUGUUGCAAGGGAACUGACGUUGCUGCCACCAUUAGGAUUAAUUGAAAAAGGAAUUGGGCUGGUGUUUGCACAUUAUUGGGCCGCUAGCAUGAGUUGUGCUGCGUUUAAUGAAGUGUGCGUUUUGGUGGCUGAAGAGUUGUGCAGGGUCUUGGUUAACACUUUUCAUUUGGAAAAAGGAAAGCACACUCGAGCUAAGGCAGAAGCUCACUUGAGAGAAACACCCUUUCGAGAGAAGCAAGAGCUGAAGGCACGUGAUCUAAGGAGCUGCCCAAAGAGGAUGACCAGAGCUGACCGGUGAUGCCAUGUGGAGAAUCAAAUGGUCGGGAGGCAAAGGAAAUGUUGGUCGUCAGAUUAAGAAAGCUUAUCAUGCAAGUUUCUUUCUCCCUUUUUCAUCUUUUCAUUUUUCUUUUCAACCCUAUAAAAGGGGCUUCUUUCAUGUAAAUAAAGACAGACACUUUCAGAUACAAUUUUACGCUCUGUAGAUUAGUUUUUUUUACGCUUUCUAUAGAGUAGGUUUUCGUUCUCUAAGCUUUUGGAGCGAAUCAUCGUGAUGGUGACAGCCCGUGGUGGCUUCGAUUGCACUCUUCGUUCGGUACCAUUUUUUUGUAAUUUUUGUUUCUCCUUAAUAAAAUGUUCUUUUUCUUUUGUGUUCUUUGUUUCUGUGUUGAGCAUUGUGAUUCUGUUGUGUUCUUAUUUGAUUGUGUGUUCUUGUGUUCUUAAUUGAUUGUGUUCUUGUGAUGUUUUGAGAAAAAUUGAUUUGAACUCGCAUUUGCAUAUUUUAAAUUCCUUUUUGGAAUUAUACGACCCCAAGGUGGGCGUAAAUGAACGGGAUGUCUUCCCGAGACAGAAAGAAGUUUAAUCAGUAAAAAAAUAUUCUAGUUGUGUUAAUUUCUGUCUGUGAGUGUUAAUUAGAAUAGGUUUAGUCGUGUUUCAGUUUUAAAGUUGGAAAAAAAUCAUAAACUGGAAUUGAAUUUGUUUUGUUUUGGGAAAUCAUUUGAUUGUUAUUCAUUUUAAGUUCUAUAUUAGAACUUGAGACCCCGAGGUGGGCAAUUUAUGAACGGGAUGUCUUCCUGUAUAGUAGCAAUCCAAUUGAUAAGCCAUUUCAAGCAAAAUUUAGUUCAGUUUUGUGACUUUUAUCCAACAACUUUGUUCUAUUUAGUAGUUUAGGACAUGUUCUGUUUGUAAUGGUUAGAGUUGGUUUUGAUUCAUGAGUUUCUCAUCUGAUUCUUUGCUUUCAUCAUUAGUCUAGUUAUUUCUUGUUGAUUUUUAUUUACUGUAGAUUUUACAAUUCUUUGUGCAACAAUUACCUUUCAUUUGUAGAUAUUCAUUUAGCUUUUAGGAUUUGUUUAGUUUUAAUUUCCAAGUCUAGUUGUUUGUUUACAGUUCUGAUUUUUGAUUAUUUUGAUUGCAUUUAAUUCUCAUAUUAGUUUAGGUUCUAUUUCUGUUUUAGGUAGUUUAGAAUACUGAUUUCUUAUAUUUCAUUUCAUUUCAUUUUAAUUUUCUUUUUAUCUUUUAAACAAAUUUUCUUUUUAGUUUCAUUUCUUUCCCCACCUUGUCUUGAGUUAGUUAAUAGUAAAUAAUAGAACAAAAAGCAAGAUUAACUCUACACUUUAAACUUAAUUUUACCAAGUCCUUGGAUUGAUACCUAGGUUGUCCCUAUACUUCAUUAGUGGGGAAACUUAGUUUGUUCUGAUUUUGUGCGACCAAUAUCAGUUUAACAACCGCCCAUCAAAUUCCCAGGAGCUUAGACGUCGGCUAGCAAGGACACCGACGUCUACGUCACUGACAGGAAAUCAAACGUCAAUCGGUUCAGCUUUAGACGUCGAAUAGACGUCAGAUCCCGUGAAAAAGCAACGUCGGUUGGGCUACAGUUAAUGUUGUUCACCUAAUGCCCCAGGCAAUUAGACGUCACGUAGUCAAACGCCGACGUCUAAGGCCUGUCUGGAAGGCGGGAAGACAAAAAUUCUUCAAUGUAGAUGUCAGUUCUGAGGGGCACCGACGUCUACGUUCCUGUAUUUUCACCAAAUUCGAGGGUUUUAGACGUCGGCUGUGACGGGCACCGACGUGAACUACCUUGAUAGGAAACCAAAACGUCAAUCUUUUCAGCUUCCUAGACGUCGGUUUCUGGAGCAACCGACGCCCCAUAUCAUUUUAAAUAGACCGCGGACUCUUCUCGCCAUUCAGUUUCUGAUCGCGUCUUCAUCUCUUCUCCUUUUUCUUUGCUUCUCCUCUUCUUUACUUCUCCUCUUCUUUUACUCGCUUGCGCACCUCUACUUUUUAUCUCUUGCGGCAUUGCAUUGUCGUUUCUCAUAACGUCAUUGUCUUCGUCCUCUCCUUUUUCUCUCUUGCAUCCCAGGUGCGUGGUUUUUUUUUAUGCUUACCGUUUAAACUUUCUUUAGUUUUUUAUCAAUUAUCUUGUCGUUCAACUGAUUAAAAUUUGCUUUCUUUGUGUUGUGUUUUAGUGCAGUUUUGAUCCUCUCUUUGGGUAACAUAGUGNAACAUUCUCCCUUUGCUGGUUUCCUCACAAGAAGAGUGGCGAUCUUUUGAGUUUUCUAGUUCUUCCGACCCAAAAUGGAACUUGGGUCCUUGUCUACUUCUCGACACCGUAAUUUUUUUCUGUUGCGGUUGAAUAAUGGGAAGUAGCCAUGGACCCAGGUUCGGUUUUGGGUUGAAAGCACUAGAAGAUUCAAAAGACGCAAGCAUUUUUUGUGGGGAAACUAGCGAGAGGAGAGUGUUACACAAUGCUACCGAAAGCCUGGAUCAAAACUGCACUAAAACACAAAAUUGUUGUUAGACGUCGGUUAAAGCCAUGUCCGACGUCUAUAACAACAUAGACGUCGGUUAGUGUCAUUUUAAACCUCUUUAUAUAUUCAUGUUGACGUCGGUUUAAUCAUAGGUGGACGUCUAUAUAGAGUAAUUAGACGUCGGUGUGAGUAUAAGAAUACGUCUAUAUAGACGUCGGUGGAUAUCUUUAACUGACGUUUAUAUGGAUGUCGGUUCUGAGGAAUUGCGACGUCCCAUAGACGUCACUCGUAUAGACGUCGAAUGUGAAAGUGACGUUAAAAGCUCAAAUUAACCGAUGUUAAACAGCAUUUUUGCACUAGUGAGAAGAAGAGAAAAUUGAUAUAUGUAAAAUAGAACAAAGAAGCUAACAUAUACAUAAGAUAUGAGAGAGGAAAGAAAAAAAGAAGAAGAAAGCAAUAAAUGAGGAGAGGUGAAGCGGUGCAGUGCAGUGGAUUUAGUUGGAAUAUUAUUUCUGACAAUCUUCUCAUCAAAAUGAAUCUUGCUGUAUUUUCUCACGUAUUUCGAACCAACGUUCACAUUUUGUCCGAUUGUUUCCUUUGUGAUAAGAUUGUAAAGAAAUCAAAUUACGAAUUCUAAAACGUGAUAACAUUUGUGUAUGUGGUCCAAUUUCUUAACUUUUGUAACGUUUCGUUUCAGUUUUGAAAAAAUUGAUAAAUAUCAAAAUGGUUUUGAUUCAGAGGGAACCGAUGUAUAAAAAAUAUAUUGUCUUGAUUCAAUGAGUAACUGAGACAUAAAAUUCUGCAUAACCUCAUCUGUUUUUGCAAAUCAGACUUUUUGAAAAGGUCUACUGUUUUGAUUAUCUGAUCAACUUUGAGACAAAUCUCUAAAAAGGACAUAUUAUCUCAAUACAGAUAUUGAUAAGAUUAUGAAUUAGGAAAAACAAAUUUAAUAAUUAUCCUUUUUCCUGUGUCACUAAUAUUGAAAGCUACCACACCGUAUUUCUUCUUAAAUACAUACGCCGAAAGUGUUAAUUUACAUAUAUAAUUGCAGAAUUCUGUAUGAAAAAUACGGUGAAUAGGAAAUAAAUUUGUAUGUUUCAUUGUAUAUGAAUUUAUGAAUGUGAAAACUAAGCAAAAACUAACCAUCAUUCAAUUUUUGUCUGGUAGUUUCCUUUGUGAUAAGAUUGUAAUGAAAUUGAAAUACGAAUUCUAAGACGUGAUAGCAUUUAUUCGUGUUCCAAUUUCUUAGCUUUUUAAGUUAAGUAUAAGCCAUCCCUUCAACCUUAACCCAUUGUAAUUAUAAUAGCAUGAAUGGAGCUAUUUAUUAUUGUAUUCUAACCUAGACAGUUUACCUUUACCUUUCAAAAUCUCCAAGAGAUUUAGAAAAACUGAAAAUGUCAUGUAUAAAAGUAAUUAUAAAAUGAUAUAAAAACUAGAUGAAAAAUCUCUUAUUUGUUAAUAAUUUUCCAUCAAUAAAAUUUGCACAUAAUUUUUUCUUUUUCAUUACCGUCAUAAUUAAUAGGUUGUCGUGUUUAUGACCAUCAUUAUCACGUUUAUCAUUGUCAUUGUCGUUACAUGAUUUAUCUUUAGCUUCUAUUUCUCAUCUUUCUCUUAUUGUUGUCACCUUUAUUGCAUUGUCUUGUCGUUUCCUUUUUUUUUUCUCUUUUCUUUUCUUUCUUUUUUUUCAUUCUCAUACAUUUUCAUUUAAUUUUUAAUUAAUAUUUUGUUAGAUUUGACAAAAAAAGUUAAUAUCUAUUUUAUAAUAUAACUAUCAAUGAAUUUUCAAAAACUCAAUUAUAAACAAAUUUUUAAAAAAAAUUCAAUCACCGACGACAUAUUUAGUAAUAAAUUCUAUAAGAAAAAUUGAUGAACUUUACCACAACAUGUUCAAAGUUUUAGAACGAGACUUUUGACGUCCAUUUUAUCAAUAUAAUUUAUUGAUAAAAACAUCCGUUAAUAAUAACAUUUUUUAAUUAUUGACAAAAUUUACUGAUCGAUAUUUUUGUUGAUAAUUAAAAUCCAUCAAUUAAAUUUGUCAAUAAAUUUUAUUUUAUUAAUUGAUUUUUCUGUUGAUAAAAUUUAAAAGAAUUUAGAAAAUAAAAUAUUAAAGUUGAUAAAAUAAUGAGACCCAUAGUUUAAAAUUAAAACAAUUUAAUAAUAGAAAUAGAAUUUCAUAAACUCAUUAUAAAAAAUACUCACUAUCUCUCUAAAAUGUUUUUUCUAAGUUAUUUUUUCUUUUCCUUUAUAAUUUUUAACUCUUGGAUUAUCUAUUUGAUGAUCAAAAGGUGCUUAUGGGUUGAGUUAUGGGUUGUUUUGGUCUAAAAAGAGAGUGUUGAUGAGUGAGAUUUUGAAUUAAAGGUUGAAUGAGUUUAAAUGGGUUUCUAAUUUUGUCCUAUGGCCACUUAUAACUUGUUUGUAAUUUAAAUAGGAGAAAUUUGCAUUAGAAUUGAGUUGUUGCAAUUAGAGUUUGUAUUUGUAUAGUUUCGUUCAAUUAAAGAGGUUUUAACUAGUGAAGUUUCAGUAAUAAGUAUGGGUUAGUCAACGAGGCUUGAGCGCUAGAAAUCCGAGAGGUCUAAUUCUAGCGCUCAACGCCAGUUUGCAUUUCUAGCGCUCAAGCACCAAAAUUGUGAGCAGAAUGGUGUUCAUAGGAAUGGGUACUUCAACGCCAGUUUGCAUGGUUUUCUAUUCAUUUAGCUUUUUUGGUUUCUUCUAAACAUGAAUGUGUAUCUUAUGAGACAUUAUCAUCGGUUUAAGGUUAAUGCAUGUUUCAAAGUGUGCUGUGGAUAUGAAUAUAGGAAAUUUAUGUAUCAAAAUUAUCAUUUUUGUAUGGACUUAUCUAUACAUAAAGCACGUGACGAGAUGUGAUAUUGAUGAGAUCAAACAGGCAAAAACAAAUUUAUAAAUAAUUGUCCUCUCUCUUGCCACUGAUAUUGAAAGCUACCACACCAUCCUAUACCCAAAGUUUUAAUUUACAUAUAUAACUGCAGAAUUCUGUAUGAAAAAUACUGUUAAUUGGAAAUAAAUUUGUAUGCUUCAUUGUAUAUGACUUUAUGAAUGUAAAACUAAGAAAAAACUGACCAUCAACAUAAUAAUAUUUUGUAUAUUUUCCCAGAAAUUAAAUAAAUAAUGAUGUUAAUCUUCUCAUGGAAAUGAGAGACCUAUAUAUAAAUCUUGCUGUAUUUUCUCACGUGUUUGGGACCAGCAUUCAAUUUUUGUCCGGUUGUUUCCUUUGUGAUAAGAUUGUAAUGAAAUCGAACUACGAAUUCUAAGACGUGAUAACAUUUUUUUGUGGUCCAAUUUCUUAGCUUUUUAAGUACCUUAACCCUCCUAGUCUCAAUAAUUCAACCUUUUUACUUUUACCUAUCUGCAUAAAAUAUAAUAUAGAUAUAUAUAUAUAUAUAUAUAUAUAUAUAUAUAUAUAUAAUAUAAUAAAUAUAGAGAGAAUGUUUAACCAUUUCUCUUUUCAAACACAUUAUUACUUAUCCAUCAGAAAUAUCAUACAAAACCAAAAUUAUACAUAUAAGAAUAUUCUUAGAAAUGUUUGGUAAUUUUGUUUGUAAAUCUUUGAGCUAUAUCUGUUUUUUGAUAGUUCAUUUUGUAGUAUCUUUUAAAUUUAUAUUUUUUAUUAACACCUAUAAAUAAAUACAUUUUCGUAUUUGACUUGGUUAAACAAGGAAAUUUAAGUUUUUACUUCUAUCUCUCACCUUUUUCUUCUACCACUUUCACUUCUGACCUUUUCUCACAAUAGAAAAGGAAUUACAAAGUAAAAUUGAUCUUACUCUGCAUUCCGUACUAUUUAAUCUGGAUAAAAUUUGUUUAAAUAUGUUUUAUGUUUUUUCUUAAAAAAAGUUCUUCUUCCUCCUCCAAAAUAGUGUCUUAAGAAAGUUAUAAAAAGUGAUUUCAUAAGUUUUUACUGCAUUAGAAUUCACAAAUGUUGUUCAUUUGAAAGGUACGUGGAGAUGGACGUGGCAAUAAAAGAAAGCGAACACGUUUUUCACAUAAAUAUUUAGUUUUACGUACUAUCAACAACAAGGUCCCAAACAUUCCACUACUUCUCGUACAUUUUCAGUCGUUUGUAUAUCAACGAAGGUGAUAACAAGAACCACAAUACGUGAAAUCAUUAGAAGUCUCGAAAAAAAAAAAAUUGACACAUUUAAAUUUUUUACAUUCAUUUAACAUUAUUUUUAUUUUUUUACAUUCUUUUUUAAAUAAUACAAAAAAUUACAUUUUUAUAAUCAUUUUACUCAUAUAAUAUCUAUAUUAAAUAAAUGUAAAAAUAUGUGAUAGUACCAUUACUUGAAAAAAUUUUCAUAAACGUAAGACCAUCCUGAUAUUUUUUCUAAGACAAGCAAUUAGUAUCUUUGACAACAAUUAUUCUUUUUACGUAGAUGUUUAGAAAAGGUAGAAAUGCAAAGGACAAAAACCUUAAUUCGAGCUCCGAGUAACAAAAUAUUUACAUCAACGUUGGGACUACAUUCCCGAUACCAUUACCCAGCUACAUAUAGUAAAGUAUUUGAAUGAAUUAAUUCUAUCAUUGGAUUAGAGUAAUAUAAAUAUAUAAAUUGAUAACGUAAUUAAAAAGAGUUAAGGGAAUAUAUCGACCAAUUUAAUAUCAAUUAUUAUAAUAUCAAUUAUAAUAAUUGAUAUUUAGUACUAACAAUUAAACUAAAUAAAGAAAAAGUAAAUAUACAAAAAUUAGCUAAUAAAGACUAAUUAUUACAAUUUAAAUACUUGAUAUCCUCCUGCAAGUUGGACGAUCUGGAAGAGAGAUGCAACUUGGAUAGUAAUGAGUCAAACCGAGGAUGAAGCAUAGGCUUUGUGAGUACAUAAGCAAGCUGAUCAUCAGUAGAUACAAAGGACACUCGAAACAUGCCUUUUUGAACAUUUUCAUGAACAAAAUGAUAGGCUAAGGCUAUAUGUUUCUUCCGAGGGUGAAAAACAGGAUUAGCACUCAGAGUUGUGGCACUAAGAUUGUCACAAUAGAUAACCGGAUUGGUUGUGGGCAUGUGACCAAGUUCAGUGAACAAGGAUAGGACCCAUAGAAGUUCACUGGCCAUGUCAGUCAAGGCUUUGUAUUCUGCUUCAGUUGAGGAACGAGCAACAAAGCGUUGUUUUUGGGAGCUCCAAGAGAUGAUAGUGCUACCAAGAUACAACAAAUAACCAGUGGUAGAAAUAUAAUCAUCCUUAUCACCCGCCCAAUCUGCAUCUAAGUAAGCAUGAAAGGUUAGCGAAGUAGUUGUCGAGAUGAAGAUACCUUUGUUGCAAGAGCCCGCCAAAUAACGAAGCACCCGUUUGAGGCAGACCAAUGUGCCGUUGUGGGGUGUUGCAUGAACUGUGCAAGUUUGUUGGUGCUGAAGGCGAUGUCCGGGCGAGUAAGACUUAAGUAUUGAAGAUUUCCCACGAGUGCGCGAUACUCAGUUGGGCAAGGUAGGAGAUCACCAGAAUCCUUGAGUAAUUAAGCACUGGUGGAGAAGGGAGUGGAUGCUGAUUUUGUGUUAGCCAUGCCUGAUUUAUGGAGUAGAUCAAUGAUGUAUUUCCUUUGUGGAAGAAAUAGUCCUGUAAUGGAAGGAAUUACUUUGACGCCCAAGAAAUAGUUAAGACAACCAAGGUCUUUCAGCGAAAAUCAAGCAUCAAUGGUGGAAAUAAGGUUGGACAGCUUUGUAGAGGAACUCCCAAUGAUAAUGAUAUCAUCAACAUAUACUAAUAAAUAUAGUGUGGAACGUAAUUUUUGGUAGAUGAAGAAAGAUGCAUCUGUAGUUGAAUUGACAAAGCCAAGAGAAAGUAGAAACACUCGAAGCUCCGUAUACCAGGCGCGAGGUGCUUGCUUUAGCCCAUAGAGUGCCUUUUUGAGGCGACAAAUAUGAUCAGGGAAACUUUUGUUGACAAAACCAGGGGGCUAGAGCAUGAAAACUUCCUCUUUGAGCGUCCCUUGAAGAAAUGUAUUAUUGACAUCAAGUUGGCGAAUGGGCCAUCCUUGACGAACUGCAAGUGUGAGGACAAUGCGAGUGGUGACCGGUUUAACAACCAAUUUAACAAUGCGAGGCCAACUUUUUUUCUUUAUUUUUUAAAUUGUCCUGUUGCUUAAGAGUUCAUCAUCAGAAGAAGCUUUAACAUAUAUAAUAAGUUUUUUGUGGUAUACUUUAUGUUAUCGAGAUAGAAGGAAAUUGUCUCUAAUUGUAUUCUUGUUCUCUUUUUUAUAUCUCUAAAUUUAUUAAAGAUUAAUAAAUACUAUAAGAAAAUUGAUAUCACCAAUGGUCAAAAUUCGUCGAUAAAUUAAAAUUAUCAACGAUAAAAAUUCUAUCGAUAAGAGUCAGUAGUACAGAAAGAGCUUUAGACGUCUGUUAUUUUGGGCUUUUAACGUCACAUCCAUACACGACGUCUUUAUGGGUGACGUUAAUAGGGCGUGAGACUCUGCAGGUCUGACGUCUUUAUAGACGCCUAUUAAAUGCCAUGUCCCACGUCUAUAAAGAUGUCAGACAUGUCACUACCCGACGUCUAAGGGCACUAUAAAGACAUUGGAUAUGACACUACCCCACGUCUAAGGGCACUAUAAAGACAUCGGACAUGACACUAACUGACGUAUAAGGGCACAAUAGACGUCGGAUAUGGCUUUAACCAACGUCUACUGGGUUUUCGUUGUGUUUUAAUGGAGUUUUGCUCAUGUCUUUGGGUAGUGUAGUAGCACCUCCUCCCUUUGCUAGCUUCUUCGUAAGAAAAAAUUGUGACUUUUGCAUCUCUUAUGGCAUUUCAACCCAAAACCGAAAUUGGGUCAUUGCCUAAUUUCAUUCCAACCGUCAAAGAAAAAGAAUACAAUGGCAUGAAAACUAGGCAAGGACCCAGGUUCGGCUUUGGGUUGAAAUGUCAUAAGAGAUCCAAAAAGACGCAAACUUUUCUUACGAGGAAUCUAGCAAAGGGAGAAGGUGCACUAUGCUACCCAACGACACGAGAAAAACUGCACCAAAACACAAUGAAAACUCAUUUUAAACGUAAGUUUAAAAGGUUCAAAAGAGAUCAAACGCACUUGGAAAUGCAAUGCGCAGAGAGAAAAGGCGAAGGAAGAUGAUGAAGUGUGCGUAACUGCUAGUUCGCAAUGUCCUAUUUAACAGGAAAUCAGACGUUGGUUUCCCAGCGACUGAUGUCUAUUCUCGAAUAUAAGUCGGGGACCUCACUAAUGUGACAUCCAUUCGAUUUAAAAAUUAAUAUUCGUGGUAUAUAUAGACGUUAGGUGUAAUGGGAGCCGACGUCUGUAAUUGAAUAUGGACGUCGGGGUGGCGGGAUCAAACGUCUAGAUGGCGGAAAGAAGUGACUUUUCACCUACCUAUCAGGAAUAUAUACGUCGGUUAGGGGGUACCGACGUCUAUAAUAUUAUAGAUGUCGGUGCCCCUUCUAACCGACGUCUAUAUGACGGAAAGAAAUGACUUUUCACCUACUUGUCAGACAUAUAUACGUCAGUUAAUAGGGGCCCCGACGUCUAUAAUAUUAUAGACAUCGGGGCCCCAUCGACCCAACGUCGAUAUCCCAACUUAUUUAAGAAAAUGCCACCGGUCAAUAAUUUAAGUUGGGUUUUUUCUGGUCUGAUGUCUAUGGGUGACGUUAAAGCCUAAUUUUGCACUAGUGAGUAUUGUUGUUGAUAAAUUUGUUAACAAAUUUUUUGUUACCAACAAAUUUUUCCAUUUGUACAUUUGUUGGUAAUUAUCAAUGAAUUUUUACGUCGAUGAAUUUGUCAGUAAUUAUUGGCAAAAAAAUUCGUAGGUAUUCCGUUGGUAAUUAUCGAUAAAGAAAUUUGUUGAUAAAAUCUGUUGGUAAUUAUUGAUGAAAUUUUUCGUUGGUAAAUAUUACAAUCUAGUUCAUCAUCUUCCUCGCUCUCCCUCUUCUUCUUCUUUCUUUCAAUUUUAUCAAUUCAGAAAAAUGAACACAUUCCAAACAAAAUAUGAAUCCUUCACUACAAGCUUUGAUAAAAUUUUGGGAAAAAAAUUAUGAAAGUUCAUGUCAAACAGCAGCUUUGCCGAUGGUGGAAAACGUUGGCUUUGGUCAAGAUUAGAGUGGACAAUAACUGCAUUGCCUGAUGAUGGUAGUGCUUGGAGUGAAAAAGAGGAAGAAAAGAGAUAUUGGUCCUCCCAUGCGCGUGUUAGAGAAGAAGAAAAUGAAGUGGAAGACCUUAAUGACGUCGGUGUAGGUAGAGACGAUGACCUGGUUGGAUAGAGAUGGAGACAUGUCAAAGGAGUUUGUAGCUACGGUGACUUGAGCUAAAUGGAGAAGUGGAGGAAUACAAAUGCUCCAUCGUGCAACAAAAAUGAAGACAUGUAAGAAAGAGCGAAAUAAAUAAUUCUCUCCCGGACAAAGGGAAAAAAUGGGCAAAAAUUCAUAUUUUGUCAGUAAUUCAUAUUUCAUUUAUUGUCUAUUGGUAAAUAAAAAAAAUAGAAGGGAAAAUUUUGGUUCUUUUUACCGAUAAAGUUUUCUAUGGAUAAUAUAUUUCUCAUUUAGUGUCAGAUUUUAUUGAAAAAUUUUUCAAUAGGUAAGAGAAAUAUACGUUAACGACAUGAAUUCAUCGGUAAAAUUUGUCUCUAAUUCGAAUUUACUGACCAAUUUGUUUUCUUCAAUAAAAUUCAACAGGUAAUUUCAAGAAUUUUUGUAGUAAAAAUAAUUCAAAUAUAAAAAAGAAAAUUAUAAAACUUAUUGUUCAUAAAUAUUAAGUUAAAGAUAAUAUCUUUACCUCUUAUAAAGUUUUAAUUGUGGCUAUUUUUUAAAGUACUUUUCUCACAAAACCGCACUUUUAGAAUUAAGCACCUAUACAUUCACAAUCUUUGCUGAACCCAACACCACACUUUUAGAAUUAAGCAUACAAAUUACAUAAAGAUAGGAAAGAAACAAUCACUUACAGAAAAGGAAAACGAACAUCCAGACUUGUAACAUUAGGAAAAGAUCCUAUAAUCCUAAUGUUACAUAUUAAAGAGAAAGAAACACACUUUGGCAAUGAAAACCUUAUUUGCAACAUAUUAUGACAUUUUUGGUGAUUCAUGAUAGUGAAUCCCUUCAUUCGGUGACUGGCAAAAUGCCUUUAAGGGGUGGCCAACCUUCAACGAUAGGAGUCACAGCACUCACAAGUGUGUCAUUAGUUUCAUGUGGGGUGACUUUCAUACGCACAUAGUGAUCUCCUUUGAAAAGGUAAACUUCAUUCUCCAAAUGAGAAGAAAAACACGCAUCAAUUCCAUUUUCAAAGAUCGUACCUUUCAAAACAGGGAACCCUUCGGUGAUGUCAAGAAUGUCGAUAAUACGCUUAUUGGUAUCAUAAGUAAUGCGAGUAUACUUCGCUCCCUUGAAUAUGUAAACUUCUUUCCCUAUGCUUGACCUAAAUGCACCGUCCACGCCCUCAGCAAACACCGUGUUUGUUAGGUCGGGAAACAUUUCAGCGAUUGUGAUAGGACCUACGAGGAUCCUGUCGUUUCCUGUGUUUGGAGCAUAGUCUAUGUAGGCACAGUUCUUGUCUGAGAAGAUAUAUGCUUCACUGCCUUCAGUGUUGAAGGAACAGUCUAUUCCUUGUUCUGCAAACGGCGUUCCUGCAAGUGAUGGAAAACCAGCACUAACCAAUUCAAGAGGAGUCAUAAGUUCAUCACCUAAUGCUCCGGGAGUGUAAUACAGCCUCACGUACUUGUUUUUCAUGAAGAAAUAGACUUGGAAUGGCUUUGAUGAAGGCAAUGCGGCAUCGAUAUAAACAGGGUCUGACAUUUUUCUUAACACAAGAAGAAGAAGAAGGAGUAAGAGAAAAAGAUAGAUAGAUAGAUUUAGUAUGCUUAUUUACGUUCCUCUCAGCCACCUAUUUAUACUCUUAUGAAAUCGGAUCCUCGGCCUUGUUCACUCUAUACACAUGUAGAAUUAAAAAUGAUCCUGAUAUUUUUUAUUUUAAAAAGGACAAAAUAACGGAAAAUAAUAAUAUUUUAGUUAUGUUUACAUUACUUUUUUAUUUAAAAGUGUAAUAUAAAUUAUUAUAUUAUUACAAAAAAGGGUCAAAUGAAUAUAUUUUUAAGUAGGGUGUCCAAAAACUUUUUCUUCUUGAAUGUUUAAUAAUUUUUUUAUAACAUUUAAUUACGCAAAAUAUAUAUUUUUUAAUUUUUCUUUAUUAAAAUAGUGAGAUCAACUUUAAGGUAUCAAAAUUAUCAUUUUUGUAUGAACUUAUCUGUACAUAAAGCACGUGACGAAAUGCGAUAUUGAUAAGAUCAGACAUGCAAAAACAAAUUUAAUAAUUGUCCUCUCUCUCGCCGCUUAAAUAAAUAUACCGAAAGUUUUAAUUUGCAUAUAUAGCUGCAGAAUUCUGUAUGAAAAAUACGGUGAAUUUAAAAUAAAUUUGUAUGUUUCAUAUUGUAUAUGAAUUUAUGAAUGUAAAACUAAGAAAAAACUAAUCAUCAAAGUAAUAAUAUUUUGUAUAUUUUUCAAGAAAUUAAAUAAACAAUGAUGUUAAUCUUCUCGUGGAAAUGAAAGACCUAUAUAUAAAUCUUGCUGUAUUUUCUCACGUGUUUGGGACCAACAUUCAAAUUUUGUCCGGUUGUUUCCUUUGUAAUAAGAUUGUAAUGAAAUUGAACUACGAAUUCUAAGACGUGAUAGCAUUUUUUUGUGCUCCAAUUUCUUAGCUUUUUAAGUUAAGUACCUUAACCCUCCUAGUCUCAAUAAUUCAACCUUUUUACUUUUACCUAUCUGCAUAAAAUAUAAUAUAGAUAUAUAUAAUAUAAUAUAUAUAGAGAGAAUGUUUAACCAUUUCUCUUUUCAAACACAUUAUUAUUUAUCCAUCAGAAAUAUCAUACAAAACCAAAAUUAUGUUAUAAUAUAUUGCAAAAUAAGUAAACGUUGCAUUGCAACGUUAAUAUUUGCCAACAUUAAAUUUCUUAAUUGCCAACGUUAUUUAAUAACAACGUUCAAAUAAUUUUGAAGCAAGGUUAUUAUUUUUAUGUUUUUAAUGUUUUUAAUUUCUUUUAUUUAAAUUGAUUCUUUCUUAACUAUAUAAAUAGAGAGUUUUUUCCCAUUUCAAAACACAUCAAAGUAUUUAUCUCAUUCUCCCUUUGUCUCAUUCUUUCUUCUCUUUUCCCUUUUCUAAAAAUCUGGAUUAUUUUUAUACUUUGUUUAGAGUUUCUUGCUAGUUCUAAGAUCCUCAAAAAUUUUCUGAGAAGUUCAUGUUGUAUCAUAGGGGACUUGCGUAACACGGGGACUUGCGUAACACACCAAUAGUAAGUGUGAUAUAUGUGUAGAAUCUAAAAUAACAAAGAAAACAUGUUUUUCUGUAGAAUGUCAAACUGAAACAAACCAUGUCUAUAGAGGAGGUAAAAAUUAUUUUGUGACCUUUAUAGAUGAUUUUUCUCGAUACAUCAAAGUUUACUUAAUCAAACAUAAAGAUGAAACCUUUAAUGUGUUUUUAACCUAUAAAGCAGAAGUAGAAAAUCAGCUAUAAGAAAAUUAAGAGGGUUAGAUCAGAUAGAGGUGGUGAGUAUGUGUUGUUUAAUGAAUUUUGUGUUAGAGAAGGGAUUAUCCAUGAAGUGACCCCACCAUAUUCACCCGAGUCUAAUGGAGUAGUUGAGAGGAAAAAUAGAACCCUUAAGGAAAUUAUGAAUGUUAUGCUUGUUAGUUCUAGUGCACCUGAUAACCUUUGGGGAGAAGCCUUGCUUAUAACCUUUGGGGAGAAGCCUUGCUUACUACAUGUUUUUUACAAAAUAGGAUACCCCAUACGAAAACUGGUAAAACUCCUUAUGAGUUGUGGAAAGGUUACCAACCUAACCUUAAAUAUCUAAGAGUGUGGGGGUGCCUAGCUAAGGUAAUGUUACCCGAUCCUAAGAAAAGGAAAAUAUGAUCUAAAAUUGUUGAUUGCGUGUUCUUAGGUUAUGCUGAACAUAGUGCUGCCUAUAGGUUUCUAGUUGUUAAAAGUAACAUACUUGAGAGAAAUUCUAUAAUGGAGACGAAAAAUGCUCAGUUUUUUGAACAUGUGUUUCCCUUAAAGGUUAGUGAGAUGUCUCAACCUGUUGAUGAUAAUGAUAAUAAUAAUAAUAAUAGUUAUACCAUGAAUGAGGAUUUGAGAAGAAGUAAAAGACAGAGAUAAGAAACUUCCUUUGGAGAUGACUUUUAUACUUAUCUUGUUGAUAAUGAUCCAACUAGCUUUGUAGAAGCUACUAGUGCUCCUGAUGCAAAACAUUGUGAUAAGGCCAUUAAGACUGAAAUUGAAUCAAUUUGGAAAAACAAUACUUGGACUUUAGUAGAUUUGCCUAAAGGAGCAAAACCCAUAGGUUGUAAAUGGAUCUUUAAGAAAAAAUAUCACCCUGAUGGAUCCAUAUAGAAAAAUAUAAGGCGAGAUUAGUAGCAAAAGGAUUGACUCAAAAAUCCAACAUAGAUUACUUUGAUAUUUUUGCUCUUUUGACUAGGAUUUCCUCUAUCCGAGUGUUGUUAGCUCUAACAAUUAUCCAUAAACUAGUGAUACAUCAGAUGGAUGUUAAAACAACCUUUUUGAAUGGUGAUUUAGAGGAGGAAAUUUAUAUGACUCAACCUAAAAGGUGUGUUAUACUUGGUCAAGAGGAUAAAGUUUGUAAACUCUUAAAAUCCUUGUAUGGGUUGAAACAAGCACCAAAACAAUGGCAUGAAAAACUUGAUAAUGUGUUGCUUUGUGAUGGUUUUCCACCUAAUGAUGCUGAUAAAUGUGUGUACUCUAAAUAUGAAAAUGGUGAUAGUGUCAUUAUAUGCUUGUAUGUGGAUGACAUGUUAAUAUUUGGUACAUGCAAUGAGAUUGUCGUUAGAACUAAAUUGUUUCUAGGAUCAAAAUUUGAAAUGAACGACAUGGAUGAAGCCAAUGUGUUUUAGGUUUUAGAAUCAUAAGAAAGGAAGGUAGUAUAUUACUAUCUCAAGAACAAUACGUUCAGAAACUUCUUAAGAAGUUUAGGUUUUAUGACUUAAAACUAGUGAGUACCCCUUAUGAUGCUAAUUCUAAUUUAAUGAGCUUUUCUAGACCUGAUAUUGCUUAUGCAGUAGGUAGACCGAGUAAGUACACUCAAUGUCCAAAUCAGGAACAUUGGGAUGCACUUGCUAGGCUUAUGAGAUACUUAAGAGGUUCAAUGGAUUAUGCCAUUGAAUACAGUGGAUUUCCUGUUGUACUAGAAGGAUACAGUGAUGCUAACUGGAUUUCUGAUUCAGAUGAGACAAAAUCCACUAGUGAUUAUGUAUUCACACUUGGGGGGGGGUGCGAUUACAUGGAGAUUAGCCAAGCAAACUAUUAUUGCAAGACCAACAAUGGAAUCUGAGUUUGUUGCUCUUGAGAUGGCUGGUAAUGAUGCUGAGUGGUUGAAAAACUUCUUAGCGAACAUUCCACUAGGAAUGAAACCAACCCCAUCGGUAUCAAUUCACUGUGAUUGCCAAUUGACAAUAACUAUAGCUAAAAACAAGAAUUACAAUGGAAAGAAUAGACAUAUACAAUUGAGAUACAAUUUGGUGAAGCAGCUGCUAAAGAGUUGAACCAUUUCCAUUGAUUAUGUGAAGUCAAAACGGAAUCUAGCGGAUCCUCUGACAAAACCCUUGGGAAGACAAAUGAUAUUGGAAACAUCGAGGGAAAUGAGACUUAAGCUACUUGCAGAUAAACAAGUGAUGGUAACCCAACCUUUGUGAUUGGAAGUCUUAUGAAUAAGGUUCAUAUGGGUAAAAACAAGUCACUUGUUAGUUCUGAUAGUACUAAAUUGAUUUUAAUCAAUUUUUUUCAAAAAAUAAUAAUUUAGACAACGGUUUUAGUAAAAAUCGAGACAAUAGAUCCAAUUUUUUUUGCUUUAUAGCUUCGGAUUUUUUGAGCCGAAAUCUUUCUGUCUCGAUUUUUUAAUAUCGUAACCAUUAUCAUAUUUAUUAUUGUAAAAAUUGCUAUGUAAUUUUAGCUCUUACUCUUCAUUUUUUUAUUGUUAUUGUUGUCCUUACUGUUACUUCCAUUGUCGUGAUUACCUCCUCUUCCUUUUCUCCUAGUUCUUCACUUCUUCUUUUCACAUACUUCUAUAUAGUUUUUAACAAAUAUUUCAUUAUAUUUUACAAAAAAAUUAAUGUCUAUUCUACUAAAUAAUUGUUAUAAAUUUUCAAAAACUCAACUAUUAUAAUUUUUUUAAAAGAAUUCAAACAUUAUAUAUUUACUGACAAUUUUUUUAAAAAAAUCUAUUAUUAACUUCUUCUAUCACAACAUUUUUAGAGUCUAAAAUAAGAAUUUUAAUUAUCAUUUUGUCAACAUAAUUUACCGACAAAAACAUAUUUCAAUAGUAAAAAUUUUAAAUUAUUAAUAACUUUUACUGAGAAAUUUAUUACUAAUAAAUAUUUUUAUUGAUAAUUAAAAUUCAUUUGUUGAUAAAUUCUAUUUUAUUAAUAAAUUUAUUUACCGGUAUUUGAAUGAUAGAUAAUUGAAAUAUAUAUAUAUAUAUAUAUAUAUAUAUAUAUAUAUAUAUAUAUAUAUAUAUUAUUCAACCUUUUUACUUUUACCUAUUUACAUAUAAUAUAAUAUAAAUAUAUAUAAUAUAAUAUAUAAAGAGAUAAUGUUUAACCAUUUCUCUUUUCAAACACAUUAUCCAUCAGAAAUAUCAUAACAACCCAAAAUUAUACAUAUAAGAAUAUUGUUAGAAAUAUUUAUUUACGUUCAUCUCCAGCCACCUAUUUAUACUGUUAUGAAAUCGGAUCCUCAGCUUUUUUUUUUUUCUUUUCUUUUCUUUACAUUUUGUUCAUAUACACAUGUAGAAUUCAAAAAGAUCGUAAUAUUAUUCAUAUUGAAAAAGGAUAAAUUAACGGAAAAUAAUAAUAUUUUAGUUAUGUUUACAUUAUUUUUUAUUUAAAAGCGUAAUAUAAAUUAUUAUACUAUUAAAAAAAAAGGGGUCAAAUGAAUAUAUUUUUAAGAAGGGUGUCCAAAAACUUUUUCCUCUUGAGUUGUUUAAUUAUUUUUUUAAAAUAUCUAUUUUUAUAUUUUUUUUAUUAAAAUAGUCAAAUCAAUUUUAAGGUAUCAAAAUUAUCAUUUUUGUCGGGACUUAUCUAUACAUAAAGCACGUGCGAGAUGUGAUAUUGAUAAGAUCAAACGGGCAAAAGCAAAUUUAUAAAUAAUUGUCCUUUCUCUUGCCACUGAUAGCUACCACACAGUAUUUCUUCUUAAAUAAAUAUACCCAAAGUUUUAAUUUACAUAUAUAACUGCAGAAUUCUGUAUGAAAAAUACUGUUAAUUGGAAAUAAAUUUGUAUGUUUCAUUGUAUAUGAAUUUAUGAAUGUAAAACUAAGAAAAAAAUGACCAUCAACAUAAUAAUAUUUUGUAUAUUUUCCAAGAAAUUAAAUAAAUAAUGAUGUUAAUCUUCUCAUCGAAAUGACAGACCUAUAUAUAAAUCUUUCUGUAUUUUCUCACGUGUUUGGGACGAGCUUUCAAUUUUUGUCUGGUUGUAAUGAAAUCGAACUACGAAUUCUAAGACGUGAUAACAUUUGUUUGUGGUCCAAUUUCUUAGCUUUUUAAGUUAAGUAUGGCUCAUCGCUUAAACCUUAAACCCUCCUACUCGCAAUAAUUAUAACAUGCACAAAUAUAUAUAUAUAUAUAUAUAUAUUAAUAACAUGCAUGAAGCUAUUUAUAAUUUUACUUAUAACCUAGAUAGUUUACUUUUAUUAAUAUAUCUCCACAACAAUCUAAAAGUGUUAAUCAUGUUUAUAAUGAAUUUGAAGGAGAAUGUCAUGUAUCAAAGUAAUUAUAAAAUGAUUAAAAAAUUAGAUGAAAACUUUUAUUUAUUAAUUUUUUUCCACUAAUAAAAUUUGUAGAAAAAUAUUAUAAUUUAAUUUUUUUAUUAUUAUAUUCCAUUAUCGUUUGUUUUCAUAUUUACAUAUCAUAUUUAUUAUUGUUAUUAUGGCUAUGUGACUUGUCUUNAGCUCUUACUCAUGUUGUUGUAAUGUUGUCACUUUCAUUUUCGUGAUCACCUCCUCUUCCUUUUUUUUUCAUAAUUAUUCACUUCUUAUUUUUACAUACUUCUAUAUAGUUUUUAACAAANAUUUCAUUAUAUUUGACAAGAAAAUUGAUGUCUAUUUUAGUGACAUAAUUAUUGAUAAAUUUUUAAAAACUUAACCAAAGUAAUAAAGNGUCUAUGACCUCGGUUAAACAGGCAAUUGUUGCCAUAAGAUCUGUGUACAUGACAAGUAAAGACUUUUCAUUUGUCAAAAAUAUUUGUACAGAGUUCUUGGCCCUGGUUGUUUUCAAAACCGAGGUCGUAGAUCCUCUGCUCCAAUUGACAUUCUCAUUUGUAGUCUGACGAAAAUCUCUGUGCAAGGCUUCUGGCCUCGGUUGUUUUCAGAACUGAGGCCACAACUCCACUGCCAAACCCUGACAUUCCUCUUUACACUGACGUUUGAACUGACAAACUAUAUGAAAGAGGUAUACGACCUCGAUUCUGCAGACAACCGAGGUCAUAGCCCCCUUCUUUUGACCCUUUUUAAAUAAUUAAAAUAUAAUGUUUUUUGGUUUUUGGCACUGGUUUUAUUUGAACUGAGGUAAUAUGGAAAUUUUGUCUCAGUUUGGCAAGGACCCGAGAUAAAAUUGUUGAAAAAAACUGCAAAAUUGUCACUUCAAAUUAUUUUUGAGUUUUUUUCUGGGGACUUUAGGCCUUGGUUGUUUAUAGAGCUGAGGUCAUAAACCUUUUACUGCUUCGGUUUUAAUUUUAANUGAGGCAGUAUCCCUUGCCAGGGUUAAAUUUUCUUGAAAGCGAAUAGUGCCAUCUUAUGCACUGAUCCUCUGCAUUCUUUCUUUGCACUUCUCACCCCAUCGCGACUCUGUUCUUUUUUUGCAGUUCUUGACGCUAUUCUUUGUGCCACCAUUGUCAUUGUUGACGGCGUUCUUUGCUCAUUUUUCCUCGCGAACGUUUUCAUCCGAUCAAAUUUAGCUUUCGUUGCCAUGGUUAGAACCACUUUCUUCCUUUUAUUAUUUUUGCAUUUUUGGAUUGUUUUGAUACAUUUUUUUGAUUAUUUUGAUGUGUUUUUUUAUUGUUAUGGAUGAUCAGACUAACUUUUUGUUGUAUUUGUGUUUAGGUAUUGUGUUUUUGCUAUGAAAUUUGUUUCGUUCCAAAACUAGGGUAGUCAAAUCUUCUCUAUAGUUGUUUGCUUUUUCACGCCUAUUAUUGUGUUUAUUAAUUUUCUUUUGUAAAAGUUUAAUGUUUUGUAUGUUGAAUAUAUAUAAUUAUGUAUGAUCGAAUGAGAUAGGAUCAAACCUUGAAUACACAAACGAUCAAAUUGAUCAUUUAAGAUUAUUUAAAUAUUGUAGACAAUUUCAGUAUAUUUAUGUAUGAAUUGAGAUUGAAUUAAUUUGCCACGUAUUAAUGUUAAGUACGAAAGAAGGGUAAAAGAAUUUAUACAAUUUGUGCAACGUAAUGAAGGUAGAAGUGAUGAUGAAGUGAAGUUUAAAUGUCCUUGUGUCAACAGUUUGAAUGAGAGAAAAUUGAACAAACCAAAAUUAGGAAACAUCUUAUUUGUGAUGGUUUCCUAUGAUGGAUGUUAUAAAACAUGGAUAUAGCAUAACCUUAACUUUAACCUCAAACUUUUCACCACUUUCCUUUCUCAAGCUCAAACAUUGUCAAAAUGCAUAACCGUGUUGUCUUCUCAAAUUUUCCUACGCCAGUAGGCACCAACACCUUUCUUUCUUUUUAACUUAUGACAUCAUUGAUAUACAAAACCAUGUUGAUUUCUCAAGUCUUGAUACACCAGUAUUUAUUCGAAACUUCUCUUAUUUUAGCCUUUCUUGUAAAGCUUGUGAUUUCUACUCCUCUAACUCUAUUCUUACAAUUCCUUCAACUCAAAAGUAGCUUCUGAACUCCAAUAUACUUUUUGGUAAGAAUUAUCCAUAAAGUUAUAAAAUUAUUUUUACGGAUUAAAUUAAAUCCAUGAUAAUAAGUGUAUAAACUAAAUCAAACCAACAACUUUUAUUUAUUAUCAAGUGCACAAAUCACACGGUGAUAGGAAACAAACAUCGAAACGAAACACAAACAUUAAGACAUGUUACAUUAGGACAGGAAACAGGCAUCCAAUCCCAAUGUUAGAUUAAAGAGAAAGAAACAAACUUUGGCAAUGGAAGCCUUAUUCGUAGCAUAUUAUAACACCAUUUAUUGAGAUGAGGCUCACGAGAAUGAAGGCUUGUUUAGUUCACAGGCAAAAUGCCAUUAAGAACAGACCAACCAUCAAGGAUAAGCUUGAUAUCACCGAUAAGAGUGUCAUCAUAUGUACCUGGGCUGAAUUUGAAACGCACAUACUUGUCUCCUUUGAAAAGGUAAGCUUCAGACUCCUUAUGAGAAGCAAAACACGCAUCGAUUCCACUUUCAAAGAUGGUACCAUUCAGAACAGGAAAGCCAUCAGCGAUGUUGCGAAUGCUGCCAACAAGCUGCUUGGAAUCAUAGUCUAUGCGAACAUACUUAGUGCCCUUGAAUAAGUAAACUUCUUUUCCUAUGGUGGAUCUAAGUGCAGAGUCUAUGCCAUCCGCAAACACCGUGUUUCUGAGGACAGGAAACAUUUGAGCAAUAGUGGUAGGACCUGCGAGUAUCUUGUCAUUAUGUGUACCUGGAGCAUAGUCUAUGUAGGCACAGAUGUUGCCGGAGAACACGUAUGCUUCACUCGCUUCAGUGUCAAAGGAAGCGUCUAUUCCAGGUUCUGCAAAUGGUGUUCCUGCAAGUGAUGGAAAACCACUACUAAUCAAGGUGAGAUUAGUUAAAAUCUCAUCAUAUCCUCCGGGAGUGUAUUUCAAGCGCACAUACUUGUUCUUGGCGAAGAAAUACACUUCAUAUUCUCUUGAUGAACGAAGUGCAGCAUUGAUAUAAGGGUCUGACAUCUUUCUCGACAAAAGAAGAGGAAGUAAUUGUAUAGAGAGAUAUGAUUUAAGGAUGCUUACAUUCCUCUCCGAUACACCUAUU